Molecule: non-coding RNA, 27 nt
Filed under: Mus musculus (house mouse)
Lineage: Eukaryota; Metazoa; Chordata; Mammalia; Rodentia; Muridae
Source: RNAcentral
UCAUAAUGGUGGUUAAACUGUCUUGAC